This 720-nucleotide ribosomal RNA is filed under the name Weissella paramesenteroides. Its description in RNAcentral is "bacterial SSU rRNA". It matches the Rfam family "Bacterial small subunit ribosomal RNA", at positions 44 to 721 of the family's 1533-position model. Lineage: Bacteria; Bacillati; Bacillota; Bacilli; Lactobacillales; Lactobacillaceae. The record is from RNAcentral.
GUGCCUAAUACAUGCAAGUCGAACGCUUUGUCUUUAAUUGAUCUGACGAGCUUGCUCUGAUGUGAUUUUAUCUGACAAAGAGUGGCGAACGGGUGAGUAACACGUGGGUAACCUACCUCUUAGCAGGGGAUAACAUUUGGAAACAAGUGCUAAUACCGUAUAAUACCAACAACCGCAUGGUUGUUGGUUGAAAGAUGGUUCUGCUAUCACUAAGAGAUGGACCCGCGGUGCAUUAGCUAGUUGGUAAGGUAACGGCUUACCAAGGCAAUGAUGCAUAGCCGAGUUGAGAGACUGAUCGGCCACAAUGGGACUGAGACACGGCCCAUACUCCUACGGGAGGCAGCAGUAGGGAAUCUUCCACAAUGGGCGCAAGCCUGAUGGAGCAACGCCGCGUGUGUGAUGAAGGGUUUCGGCUCGUAAAACACUGUUAUAAGAGAAGAACGGCACUGAGAGUAACUGUUCAGUGUGUGACGGUAUCUUACCAGAAAGGAACGGCUAAAUACGUGCCAGCAGCCGCGGUAAUACGUAUGUUCCAAGCGUCAUCCGGAUUUAUUGGGCGUAAAGCGAGCGCAGACGGUUAUUUAAGUCUGAAGUGAAAGCCCUCAGCUCAACUGAGGAAUGGCUUUGGAAACUGGAUGACUUGAGUGCAGUAGACGAAAGUGGAACUCCAUGUGUAGCGGUGAAAUGCGUAGAUAUAUGGAAGAACACCAGUGACGAUGG